Molecule: ribosomal RNA, 866 nt
Filed under: Finegoldia magna
Lineage: Bacteria; Bacillati; Bacillota; Tissierellia; Tissierellales; Peptoniphilaceae
Description: partial 23S ribosomal RNA
Rfam family: Bacterial large subunit ribosomal RNA
Source: RNAcentral
GGUUAAGUUAGUAAGGGCGCACGGUGGAUGCCUUGGCACUAGGAGCCGAAGAAGGACGUGACAAACGACGAAAUGCCUUGGGGAGCUGUAAGUAAGCGUAGAUCCAGGGAUGUCCGAAUGGGGGAACCCAAUAGGUAGAUACCUAUUACCCGUAUCUGUUAAGGAUAUGAGGAGGAAGACGCAGUGAACUGAAACAUCUAAGUAGCUGCAGGAAGAGAAAGCAAAAGCGAUUGCCUGAGUAGCGGCGAGCGAAAGGGCAAGAGGGCAAACCGAGAAGUUUACUUCUCGGGGUUGUAGGACUGCGAUGUGGAUUUAAAGAUUAUAGAAGAAGACCUUGGGAAAGGUUGCCAGAGAGAGUAAGAGCCUCGUAUUUUAAAUAAUCUUUAUACCUAGCAGGAUCCUGAGUACGGCGGGACACGAGGAAUCCCGUCGGAAUCUGGGAGGACCAUCUCCCAACCCUAAAUACUCCCUAGUGACCGAUAGUGAACCAGUACCGUGAGGGAAAGGUGAAAAGCACCCCGGGAGGGGAGUGAAAGAGAACCUGAAACCGUGUGCCUACAACAAGUUCGAGCCCGUUAAUGGGUGAGAGCGUGCCUUUUGUAGAAUGAACCGGCGAGUUACGUUAUGAUGCGAGGUUAAGUUGAAGAGACGGAGCCGUAGGGAAACCGAGUCUGAAGAGGGCGGUAUAGUAUCAUGAUGUAGACCCGAAACCAUGUGACCUACCCAUGAGCAGGUUGAAGGUGAGGUAAAACUCACUGGAGGACCGCACCAGGGCACGUUGAAAAGUGCUUGGAUGACUUGUGGGUAGCGGAGAAAUUCCAAACGAACUUGGAGAUAGCUGGUUCUCUCCGAAAUAGCUUUAGGGC